AGUGAACGCUGGCGGUAGGCCUAACACAUGCAAGUCGAACGGCAGCACAGUAAGAGCUUGCUCUUACGGGUGGCGAGUGGCGGACGGGUGAGGAAUACAUCGGAAUCUACUUUUUCGUGGGGGAUAACGUAGGGAAACUUACGCUAAUACCGCAUACGACCUACGGGUGAAAGCAGGGGAUCUUCGGACCUUGCGCGAUUGAAUGAGCCGAUGUCGGAUUAGCUAGUUGGCGGGGUAAAGGCCCACCAAGGCGACGAUCGGUAGCUGGUCUGAGAGGAUGAUCAGCCACACUGGCACUGAGAAACGGCCCAGACUCCUGCGGUGGGAAACAGUGGGGAAUAUUGGACAAUGGGGGAAAGCCUGAUCCAGCCAUACCGCGUGGGUGAUGAAGGCCUUCGGGUUGUAAAGCCCUUUUGUUGGGAAAGAAAAGCAGCAGUUUAAUACCCCGCUGUUCUGACGGUACCCGAAGAAUAAGCACCGGCUAACUUCGUG
This 492-nucleotide ribosomal RNA is filed under the name uncultured bacterium. Its description in RNAcentral is "partial 16S ribosomal RNA". It matches the Rfam family "Bacterial small subunit ribosomal RNA", at positions 29 to 507 of the family's 1533-position model. The record is from RNAcentral.